GAUGAACGCUGGCGGCGUGCCUAAUACAUGCAAGUCGAGCGAACGGACGAGAAGCUUGCUUCUCUGAUGUUAGCGGCGGACGGGUGAGUAACACGUGGAUAACCUACCUAUAAGACUGGGAUAACUUCGGAAAACCGGAGCUAAUACCGGAUAAUAUUUUGAACCGCAUGGUUCAAAAGUGAAAGACGGUCUUGCUGUCACUUAUAGAUGGAUCCGCGCUGCAUUAGCUAGUUGGUAAGGUAACGGCUUACCAAGGCAACGAUGCAUAGCCGACCUGAGAGGGUGAUCGGCCACACUGGAACUGAGACACGGUCCAGACUCCUACGGGAGGCAGCAGUAGGGAAUCUUCCGCAAUGGGCGAAAGCCUGACGGAGCAACGCCGCGUGAGUGAUGAAGGUCUUCGGAUCGUAAAACUCUGUUAUUAGGGAAGAACAUAUGUGUAAGUAACUGUGCACAUCUUGACGGUACCUAAUCAGAAAGCCACGGCUAACUACGUG
RNAcentral lists this ribosomal RNA (497 nucleotides) under uncultured bacterium. RNAcentral's name for it is "partial 16S ribosomal RNA". It matches the Rfam family "Bacterial small subunit ribosomal RNA", at positions 28 to 507 of the family's 1533-position model. The record is from RNAcentral.